ACGCGUAAGAACUUGCCUCUUAGACCGGGACAACAUCUGGAAACGGAUGCUAAUACCGGAUAUUAUGGUUUUUUCGCAUGGAGGAAUCAUGAAAGCUAGAUGCGCUAAGAGAGAGCUUUGCGUCCCAUUAGCUCGUUGGUGAGGUAACGGCCCACCAAGGCAAUGAUGGGUAGCCGGCCUGAGAGGGUGAACGGCCACAAGGGGACUGAGACACGGCCCUUACUCCUACGGGAGGCAGCAGUGGGGAAUAUUGGACAAUGGACCACAAGUCUGAUCCAGCAAUUCUGUGUGCACGAUGACGUUUUUCGGAAUGUAAAGUGCUUUCAGUCGGGAAGAAGUCAGUGACGGUACCGACAGAAGAAGCGACGGCUAAAUACGUGCCAGCAGCCGCGGUAAUACGUAUGUCGCAAGCGUUAUCCGGAUUUAUUGGGCGUAAAGCGCGUCUAGGCGGCAAGGAAAGUCUGAUGUGAAAAUGCGGAGCUCAACUCCGUAUGGCGUUGGAAACUGCCUUACUAGAGUACUGGAGAGGUAGGCGGAACUACNAGUGUAGAGGUGAAAUUCGUAGAUAUUUGUAGGAAUGCCGAUGGGGAAGCCAGCCUACUGGACAGAUACUGACGCUAAAGCGCGAAAGCGUGGGUAGCAAAC
Molecule: ribosomal RNA, 645 nt
Filed under: uncultured Fusobacterium sp.
Lineage: Bacteria; Fusobacteriati; Fusobacteriota; Fusobacteriia; Fusobacteriales; Fusobacteriaceae
Description: bacterial SSU rRNA
Rfam family: Bacterial small subunit ribosomal RNA
Source: RNAcentral